Molecule: ribosomal RNA, 426 nt
Filed under: uncultured bacterium
Lineage: Bacteria
Description: partial 16S ribosomal RNA
Rfam family: Bacterial small subunit ribosomal RNA
Source: RNAcentral
GUGAGGAAUUUUCCGCAAUGGGCGAAAGCCUGACGGAGCAAUGCCGCGUGAAGGAUGAAGGCCUAUGGGUUGUAAACUUCUUUUCUCAGAAAAGAAUUAUGACGGUAUCUGAGGAAUAAGCAUCGGCUAACUCUGUGCCAGCAGCCGCGGUAAGACAGAGGAUGCAAGCGUUAUCCGGAAUGAUUGGGCGUAAAGCGUCUGUAGGUUGUUUAAAAAGUAUUCUGUCAAAGAUUAGGGCUUAACCCUAGAUAGGCAGAAUAAACUUUUAAGCUAGAGUUUGGUAGAGGCAGAGGGAAUUCCCGGUGGAGCGGUGAAAUGCGUAGAUAUCGCGAGGAACACCAAAGGCGAAGGCACUCUGCUGGGCCAAUACUAACACUGAGAGACGAAAGCGAGGGGAGCAAAUGGGAUUAGAAACCCCAGUAGUCC